RNAcentral lists this unclassified non-coding RNA (558 nucleotides) under Hevea brasiliensis (rubber tree). Lineage: Eukaryota; Viridiplantae; Streptophyta; Magnoliopsida; Malpighiales; Euphorbiaceae. The record is from RNAcentral.
CAAAUAAAUAAAUAAAACCUUUCUAUGAUUCAUGAAUGUUGCAUGACAAUACUUCAAAGCACUACUACAAAAUAAAAAUUUUAGAAGAGUUCACAAAACUCACUCAGAAAGUUAGACAAAAUUUUGUACAAGUAAUAGAAAUUGAAGAAGUUUCUCUAUAAUAAAUUCCUUUUUAUUUAACCAAAACAUAUAGGGAAAAUUGGAGAAGACAAAUACACAAGACAAUGAUGGUUCUUGGCAUAAAACGGCAUGAAAGGACAAUUUCUAGGAAUGCCAUGGCUUGUGAACAUGAGAAAAUGAGAGAGAUGCAUAUGCUAGGUAUUUAUAGCUGUAUUUUUCACACCAUUCUUUAAGAUGCAGGUCGGGCAGGGGUACUGAGUCGAGCAAUGGUUACAAUGACAGUAUUUAUUGGUCCUAAUGAGCAUUCAUAAGCGUUUGUUGCUGAAAGUCAGGGUGGGAAUAUUUCUUUUAGGAAGAUAACAUGGAAUAUGGAUGCAAUGUGAAACCACCUCUCCAAUUCACCACUCAUAAAUUUAAAAGAAGAAGAAGAAGAAGAAG